Molecule: ribosomal RNA, 465 nt
Filed under: uncultured bacterium
Lineage: Bacteria
Description: partial 16S ribosomal RNA
Rfam family: Bacterial small subunit ribosomal RNA
Source: RNAcentral
GAUGAACGCUGGCGGCGUGCUUAACACAUGCAAGUCGAACGGAAAGGCUCCUGCUUGCAGGGGUACUCGAGUGGCGAACGGGUGAGUAACACGUGGGUGAUCUGCCCUGCACUUCGGGAUAAGCCUGGGAAACUGGGUCUAAUACCGGAUAGGACCACAUUUUGGAUGGUGUGGUGGAAAGUUUUUCGGUGUGGGAUGAGCUCGCGGCCUAUCAGCUUGUUGGUGGGGUAAUGGCCUACCAAGGCGUCGACGGGUAGCCGGCCUGAGAGGGUGUACGGCCACAUUGGGACUGAGAUACGGCCCAGACUCCUACGGGAGGCAGCAGUGGGGAAUAUUGCACAAUGGGCGCAAGCCUGAUGCGGCGACGCCGCGUGGGGGAUGACGGCCUUCGGGUUGUAAACUCCUUUCGCUAGGGACGAAGCGCAAGUGACGGUACCUGGAGAAGAAGCACCGGCUAACUACGUG